GGGUCGGUGCGCCGAGCAGCGAAGGCAGCGGGUUGUAAACCCGUGACAUCAGAAACACCGGUGGUGCAAUUCCACCCCGACCCACCA
This 87-nucleotide transfer RNA is filed under the name Coriobacteriales bacterium. RNAcentral describes it as "tRNA-Tyr". It matches the Rfam family "tRNA". From Rfam's summary of the family: Transfer RNA (tRNA) molecules are approximately 80 nucleotides in length. The record is from RNAcentral. Lineage: Bacteria; Bacillati; Actinomycetota; Coriobacteriia; Coriobacteriales.